This 676-nucleotide long non-coding RNA is filed under the name Mustela putorius furo (domestic ferret). RNAcentral describes it as "lncRNA (ENSMPUG00000025832.1)". The record is from RNAcentral. Lineage: Eukaryota; Metazoa; Chordata; Mammalia; Carnivora; Mustelidae.
CACACCCACGCCACGCCCUGCCUCGCGCACGCCCCCGCGCCCCUCCCGCGGUGGGCCGGGGAGCCACUGCCAGGUUCACGAGCUCUCUCUCCGGAGCGGCCCACCCCUGCCCGGCCCGCGCGGUCUUGCGCUCUGCUUGCGCUGGGCUGCGGAUGGGGGGGCUUACUGUCUGUCGCACCUUCCAUCCCAUUCCAUCCGCAGACUGCCCAGACUGUUAGAACUUGUCCCCCGUCCCUCCACCCCCAGGGGAAUCAAAACCUCUCCUUGCAGCUGCCCCUCAUUUCCUGACUCUGGGUUUAUGGUCUCUACUCGACAGGUCUUACUUGAGCGCUUUCUAGUGCUGAUAGUGGACAGGGCACUAGGCGGGUGCAGCGUCAAUAAUGGUGUGAGAGAAGAGCGGAAUAAUAAAGAUCUGCAAAAAGGAAGAUCGCCAAAGACAAGGACAGAGACGAUUAAAAGCUACCUUUGUGGAACCUCGAGGCAGAGUAUGGCUUCAUGAAGACUUCCAGGGAGUCUGUCCAGCUGGGUGCGUCCACCCCGACGGCCCAAGGUAAGGCCCAGCCCCUAACACUGCCGCAGGGGCUGCCUCUAUUCUGAAAGGCUGCCCUGUGUGCCCCAUCUUCACAUCCAUGCUGCAAGAUGAGACCAGGCUGCAGAAGUCCAAAGGGAAUUUCUG